ACAGUGUCACAAUAGAGAAAAAAAAGUCGAAUUUUCAUGCAAAAGCAAAAGGGUUUGAGAAUUUGGUUGAGACUCACCGAUUGUAUUCGAAAUCGGCUACAAUGAAGUAUCCAGUGGAUUCAGCGGAAGCGGGGCGCGCGAGGAAGAAGGGGGCGUGGGUUCGGGCGUGGCUGGUGGUGGACUCCGAACAUCGGAUUUGGAAUUAAGGGCUCCAAUUCCAAUUCCAAUUCCAAUUCCACAGUCCCAACUUCAUGAUACGAACGAAGCCUAGUAAUAGGAAAUUUCUACACAUAUUUGCAUAGUUUGGGUACUAAUUGGUAAAAUUCAGGAUAAAAUUGAAAGAGGAGUCUGGAGAGGAAGGAAACAAACCAGUGUGGACAGAUUUUUACGGUAAUGGGAGAUGGUGGUGACCAAAUUUAUACAUACCAACAAAAGAAAGAAGAGUGGAAUACAGAGGAAACGGGAGAAAACGCGCACGCCUUGAAGAUUCUUCCAUUCGAAUUUGUUGCCCUCGAGGCAUGCCUCCAGGCUACCUGCAGUAGCUUGGAUGAUGAAGCAACAAGACGGGAGCAAGAAGCUCAUCCAGCAUUGGAUAAGCUCACUUACUAGAUUAGCACUCUCAAUCUAGACCGGUUCGACACAUUAAGAGCGUUUGGUGGCAAUAACUGGGCGCGUGCAGAAGAUUUUCCAUUACCAUAUGUAUGUUUUUGGAGUGCUGGCUAAGUUCAAACCCCCACUGUUCACCAUCCCCAGGUAAAACACACACACACACACACAUCAGUUAAGUUCUAAAUUAUAGGGUAGUUUUGGCAAUUAGAGUGCUUGUUAAAUACAUCUGCUGCUUUUGAUAACUUUGGGCUAAUGUAGAAAUAAUCUGUCUGGUGUAUUUUUUUUCAGCACCAAAACCUUUGAAAAUGGCUGAGUAAGAGCACCCGCAACGCAUCUCGCGGGUGUCUCUUAUCUCGUCCCUCCGAGACAAGACGGACGCCGGAGCGUUGCAGCGUCCCGUCUCGUCACCAUCCCG
Long non-coding RNA from Salvia splendens (bonfire salvia), 1024 nucleotides. RefSeq lists it as uncharacterized. The record is from RefSeq and is a predicted model, not a curated record. The transcript has 4 exons. Lineage: Eukaryota; Viridiplantae; Streptophyta; Magnoliopsida; Lamiales; Lamiaceae.